RNAcentral lists this ribosomal RNA (468 nucleotides) under uncultured bacterium. Its description in RNAcentral is "partial 16S ribosomal RNA". It matches the Rfam family "Bacterial small subunit ribosomal RNA", at positions 28 to 507 of the family's 1533-position model. The record is from RNAcentral.
GACGAACGCUGGCGGCGUGCUUAACACAUGCAAGUCGAACGGAAAGGCCCUGCUUUUGUGGGGUGCUCGAGUGGCGAACGGGUGAGUAACACGUGAGUAACCUGCCCUUGACUUUGGGAUAACUUCAGGAAACUGGGGCUAAUACCGGAUAGGAGCUCCUGCUGCAUGGUGGGGGUUGGAAAGUUUCGGCGGUUGGGGAUGGACUCGCGGCUUAUCAGCUUGUUGGUGGGGUAGUGGCUUACCAAGGCUUUGACGGGUAGCCGGCCUGAGAGGGUGACCGGCCACAUUGGGACUGAGAUACGGCCCAGACUCCUACGGGAGGCAGAAGUGGGGAAUAUUGGACAAUGGGCGGAAGCCUGAUGCAGCAACGCCGCGUGCGGGAUGACGGCCUUCGGGUUGUAAACCGCUUUCGCCUGUGACGAAGCGUGAGUGACGGUAAUGGGUAAAGAAGCACCGGCUAACUACGUG